GACCAUCAUGAUUCUGGUUUCAAUCCAGGCAAGUGUUUCUAUAUGUACAGAUAAUGUAGAAAAUCUUGUGUGGAUUGGAACCAGGGUCAUAUUAUAUACACAGAGUC
Ornithorhynchus anatinus (platypus) is the source of this 107-nucleotide non-coding RNA. RefSeq annotates it as microRNA mir-1422a. The transcript has a single exon. The record is from RefSeq and is marked provisional. Lineage: Eukaryota; Metazoa; Chordata; Mammalia; Monotremata; Ornithorhynchidae.